GUAGGUGGCAAGCGUUGUCCGGAAUUAUUGGGCGUAAAGCGCGCGCAGGCGGUUCUUUAAGUCUGAUGUGAAAGCCCACGGCUCAACCGUGGAGGGUCAUUGGAAACUGGAGAACUUGAGUACAGAAGAGGAAAGCGGAAUUCCACGUGUAGCGGUGAAAUGCGUAGAGAUGUGGAGGAACACCAGCGGCGAAGGCGGCUUUCUGGUCUGUAACUGACGCUGAGGCGCGAAAGCGUGGGGAGCAAACAGGGAUUAGAUACCCUGGUAGUCCACGCCGUAAACAAUGAGUGCUAAGUGUUAGGGGGGUUUCCGCCCCCUUAGUGCUGCAGCUAACGCAUUAAGCACUCCGCCUGGGGAGUACGGCCGCAAGGCUG
RNAcentral lists this ribosomal RNA (374 nucleotides) under uncultured organism. RNAcentral describes it as "partial 16S ribosomal RNA". It matches the Rfam family "Bacterial small subunit ribosomal RNA", at positions 527 to 896 of the family's 1533-position model. The record is from RNAcentral.